CCUGGGCGGGGCGGGGCCGCACCUGAGGCGGGCGGGGGUGCGCAGUGCGGCGGUGGCCAUGGCGGGAGCGGUGCGGUGGGGCGGCCCCGGGCCCCGGCCCCUGCUGCUGCUGCUGCUGCUGCUGCUGCUCGUGUCACUCGUGGGAGCCCAGGUCACCUCUGAGACCAAAGAAGUGCCUGAAAACAAGCCCGCCGACAUCCCCUGCUCAGCGUAUCGGUCCAGCUGGAACAACCCCCGCAUCGAGUGGAAGUUCCAGAAGGGCUCCUCGCUGGUCCUCUUCUACUACGGGGGAGAGCUGACGGAACCGUACAAGAACCGGGUCCAGUUCUCGCCCACCACCAUCCACUUCAGCACGGUGACGCGGCAGGACACGGGGAAGUACAUCUGCGAGGUGGUGGGGGACAGCAGCCAGAUCGCCAAGUCGGAGGUGAACCUCAUCGUCCAAGUGCCGCCCUCCAAGCCGGUGGCCCACGUGCCCACCUCGGCCACCAUCGGCAGCAAGGCCGUGCUGCGCUGCACCGAGACGGACGGCUCGCCGCCCCCCACCUUCCGCUGGUACAAGGACAGCAUGCUGAUGCCCACCGACCCCAAAACCAGCCUGACCUUCAGGAACUCUUCCUACACCCUGGACCCCGCCACGGGGGAGCUGAUCUUUGAGCCCCUGAGCGGCUUCGACACCGGUGACUACUACUGCGAGGCGACGAACAACGUGGGCUCCCCCCAGAAAUCCGACGUUAUCCACAUGGAAGCCAGUGAGGUCAACGUCGGCGGCAUCGUGGCCGCGGUCGUGGUGCUGCUGAUGGUGCUGGCGCUCGCAGCCUUUGGCGUCUGGUUCGCCUACAGCCGGGGCUACUUCAGCAAGAGAAAAGAGUAAGUGAAGCCGUAACACCGCUGCCUCCCUCCCGGCUGCCUCCUGUUCCUCCGCCAGCGGGGACGGGUGGUCUCUUCCUCCCCCAGCCCCUGCCCGUGGGCUGGGAAGGUGCCUCGGGUGUCACCGGGUGCUCAGGGUGGGGACGGGAUGGGGGGGGGUCGCUCCGGGCAGCGCGAUGUCUCCUAACGCCUUGGCUUUCUGCAGCGCCGCCGGCAAGAAGGUGAUUUACAGCCAGCCCUCGCACCGCAGCGAAGGAGAGUUCAAGCAGACGUCGUCCUUCCUGGUGUGACCCUGCUCCCGCGCCGCCACCUCUUGUACAUGUUCCCGAAUUACUGUAGCUACGCCGUGAUUUUAACUAUUAUUUUUUUUAAGCGUCACUCGGUGCCUUUGCAGUCACCUCAGAUGGUUUUGGGGGGGGGGGGAGGUCUCCUGUCCCCCCCCACCUUGUCCCCUCCCCAGCAGGAGCCGGGUCGUGGCUGUGUCCCUGCGCAGGGACUGCCGCCCUUUGGGGAUGGGGGGGGUCCUCCGCCGGGGCUGCUGUAACCCCACAACCCCCCCCAGCUGUCCUGGGGGGUGGGAGCCCAUCUCCCCAGCACCAGUCCCAGCUGCCUACUGGUCCCAGUUGUCCCCCCAUACUGGGGGGGGGGCUGGACUGGGCCUGCGAGCGCUGCUGGAAAUAAAUAAACCUGUGUCCUUGUA
Grus americana (Whooping crane) is the source of this 1570-nucleotide RNA transcript. It is a transcript of the gene named F11 receptor, with no coding region annotated. The transcript is spliced from 9 exons. Lineage: Eukaryota; Metazoa; Chordata; Aves; Gruiformes; Gruidae. The record is from RefSeq and is a predicted model, not a curated record.